This 1014-nucleotide ribosomal RNA is filed under the name Salmonella enterica. Its description in RNAcentral is "partial 23S ribosomal RNA". It matches the Rfam family "Bacterial large subunit ribosomal RNA", at positions 1917 to 2925 of the family's 2925-position model. The record is from RNAcentral. RNAcentral also lists the same sequence under 1 other name. Lineage: Bacteria; Pseudomonadati; Pseudomonadota; Gammaproteobacteria; Enterobacterales; Enterobacteriaceae.
GCCCCGGUAAACGGCGGCCGUAACUAUAACGGUCCUAAGGUAGCGAAAUUCCUUGUCGGGUAAGUUCCGACCUGCACGAAUGGCGUAAUGAUGGCCAGGCUGUCUCCACCCGAGACUCAGUGAAAUUGAACUCGCUGUGAAGAUGCAGUGUACCCGCGGCAAGACGGAAAGACCCCGUGAACCUUUACUAUAGCUUGACACUGAACAUUGAGCCUUGAUGUGUAGGAUAGGUGGGAGGCUUUGAAGUGUGGACGCCAGUCUGCAUGGAGCCGACCUUGAAAUACCACCCUUUAAUGUUUGAUGUUCUAACGUGGACCCGUAAUCCGGGUUGCGGACAGUGUCUGGUGGGUAGUUUGACUGGGGCGGUCUCCUCCUAAAGAGUAACGGAGGAGCACGAAGGUUGGCUAAUCCUGGUCGGACAUCAGGAGGUUAGUGCAAUGGCAUAAGCCAGCUUGACUGCGAGCGUGACGGCGCGAGCAGGUGCGAAAGCAGGUCAUAGUGAUCCGGUGGUUCUGAAUGGAAGGGCCAUCGCUCAACGGAUAAAAGGUACUCCGGGGAUAACAGGCUGAUACCGCCCAAGAGUUCAUAUCGACGGCGGUGUUUGGCACCUCGAUGUCGGCUCAUCACAUCCUGGGGCUGAAGUAGGUCCCAAGGGUAUGGCUGUUCGCCAUUUAAAGUGGUACGCGAGCUGGGUUUAGAACGUCGUGAGACAGUUCGGUCCCUAUCUGCCGUGGGCGCUGGAGAACUGAGGGGGGCUGCUCCUAGUACGAGAGGACCGGAGUGGACGCAUCACUGGUGUUCGGGUUGUCAUGCCAAUGGCACUGCCCGGUAGCUAAAUGCGGAAGAGAUAAGUGCUGAAAGCAUCUAAGCACGAAACUUGCCCCGAGAUGAGUUCUCCCUGAGACUUAGAGUCUCCUGAAGGAACGUUGAAGACGACGACGUUGAUAGGCCGGGUGUGUAAGCGCAGCGAUGCGUUGAGCUAACCGGUACUAAUGAACCGUGAGGCUUAACCUU